GAUCAAAGUGUAGUAUCUGUUCUUAUCAGCUUAAUAUCUGGUACGGGCCCCAUAGGGGUCCAAGAUGUUAAUCUUAUUUUUGUUUUAAGGCGGAGAGCUUGAGGCUCGCCUCUCCUUCGCCGCGGGUUGUC
RNAcentral lists this small nuclear RNA (131 nucleotides) under Triaenobunus armstrongi. RNAcentral's name for it is "partial U2 snRNA". It matches the Rfam family "U2 spliceosomal RNA", at positions 25 to 155 of the family's 192-position model. From Rfam's summary of the family: U2 is a small nuclear RNA (snRNA) component of the spliceosome (involved in pre-mRNA splicing). Complementary binding between U2 snRNA (in an area lying towards the 5' end but 3' to hairpin I) and the branchpoint sequence (BPS) of the intron results the bulging out of an unpaired adenosine, on the BPS, which initiates a nucleophilic attack at the intronic 5' splice site, thus starting the first of two transesterification reactions that mediate splicing. Lineage: Eukaryota; Metazoa; Arthropoda; Arachnida; Opiliones; Triaenonychidae. The record is from RNAcentral.